UGCGUAGGCGGACUAAUAAGUCAGUGGUGAAAUCUCUCGGCUCAACCGGGAAACUGCCAUUGAUACUGUUAGUCUUGAGUUCGGUUGAGGUAGGCGGAAUGUGUAAUGUAGCGGUGAAAUGCUUAGAUAUUACACAGAACACCAAUUGCGUAGGCAGCUUACUAGACCGACACUGACGCUGAGGCACGAGAGCGUGGGUAGCGAACAGGAUUAGAUACCCUGGUAGUCC
This 229-nucleotide ribosomal RNA is filed under the name uncultured bacterium. RNAcentral's name for it is "partial 16S ribosomal RNA". It matches the Rfam family "Bacterial small subunit ribosomal RNA", at positions 568 to 796 of the family's 1533-position model. The record is from RNAcentral.